UACGGGGGGGGCAAGCGUUGUUCGGAAUUACUGGGCGUAAAGGGCUCGUAGGCGGCCAACUAAGUCAGACGUGAAAUCCCUCGGCUUAACCGGGGAACUGCGUCUGAUACUGGAUGGCUUGAGGUUGGGAGAGGGAUGCGGAAUUCCAGGUGUAGCGGUGAAAUGCGUAGAUAUCAUUUGGAACGCCAAUGGUGAAAACAGCUCGCUGGGAAUGAUCUGACACUGAGACGCGAAAGCCAGGGGAGCGAACGGG
RNAcentral lists this ribosomal RNA (253 nucleotides) under uncultured bacterium. Its description in RNAcentral is "partial 16S ribosomal RNA". It matches the Rfam family "Bacterial small subunit ribosomal RNA", at positions 524 to 776 of the family's 1533-position model. The record is from RNAcentral.